RNAcentral lists this ribosomal RNA (2904 nucleotides) under Escherichia coli. RNAcentral's name for it is "bacterial LSU rRNA". It matches the Rfam family "Bacterial large subunit ribosomal RNA". Lineage: Bacteria; Pseudomonadati; Pseudomonadota; Gammaproteobacteria; Enterobacterales; Enterobacteriaceae. The record is from RNAcentral.
UUAAGCGACUAAGCGUACACGGUGGAUGCCCUGGCAGUCAGAGGCGAUGAAGGACGUGCUAAUCUGCGAUAAGCGUCGGUAAGGUGAUAUGAACCGUUAUAACCGGCGAUUUCCGAAUGGGGAAACCCAGUGUGUUUCGACACACUAUCAUUAACUGAAUCCAUAGGUUAAUGAGGCGAACCGGGGGAACUGAAACAUCUAAGUACCCCGAGGAAAAGAAAUCAACCGAGAUUCCCCCAGUAGCGGCGAGCGAACGGGGAGCAGCCCAGAGCCUGAAUCAGUGUGUGUGUUAGUGGAAGCGUCUGGAAAGGCGCGCGAUACAGGGUGACAGCCCCGUACACAAAAAUGCACAUGCUGUGAGCUCGAUGAGUAGGGCGGGACACGUGGUAUCCUGUCUGAAUAUGGGGGGACCAUCCUCCAAGGCUAAAUACUCCUGACUGACCGAUAGUGAACCAGUACCGUGAGGGAAAGGCGAAAAGAACCCCGGCGAGGGGAGUGAAAAAGAACCUGAAACCGUGUACGUACAAGCAGUGGGAGCACGCUUCGGCGUGUGACUGCGUACCUUUUGUAUAAUGGGUCAGCGACUUAUAUUCUGUAGCAAGGUUAACCGAAUAGGGGAGCCGAAGGGAAACCGAGUCUUAACUGGGCGUUAAGUUGCAGGGUAUAGACCCGAAACCCGGUGAUCUAGCCAUGGGCAGGUUGAAGGUUGGGUAACACUAACUGGAGGACCGAACCGACUAAUGUUGAAAAAUUAGCGGAUGACUUGUGGCUGGGGGUGAAAGGCCAAUCAAACCGGGAGAUAGCUGGUUCUCCCCGAAAGCUAUUUAGGUAGCGCCUCGUGAAUUCAUCUCCGGGGGUAGAGCACUGUUUCGGCAAGGGGGUCAUCCCGACUUACCAACCCGAUGCAAACUGCGAAUACCGGAGAAUGUUAUCACGGGAGACACACGGCGGGUGCUAACGUCCGUCGUGAAGAGGGAAACAACCCAGACCGCCAGCUAAGGUCCCAAAGUCAUGGUUAAGUGGGAAACGAUGUGGGAAGGCCCAGACAGCCAGGAUGUUGGCUUAGAAGCAGCCAUCAUUUAAAGAAAGCGUAAUAGCUCACUGGUCGAGUCGGCCUGCGCGGAAGAUGUAACGGGGCUAAACCAUGCACCGAAGCUGCGGCAGCGACGCUUAUGCGUUGUUGGGUAGGGGAGCGUUCUGUAAGCCUGUGAAGGUGUGCUGUGAGGCAUGCUGGAGGUAUCAGAAGUGCGAAUGCUGACAUAAGUAACGAUAAAGCGGGUGAAAAGCCCGCUCGCCGGAAGACCAAGGGUUCCUGUCCAACGUUAAUCGGGGCAGGGUGAGUCGACCCCUAAGGCGAGGCCGAAAGGCGUAGUCGAUGGGAAACAGGUUAAUAUUCCUGUACUUGGUGUUACUGCGAAGGGGGGACGGAGAAGGCUAUGUUGGCCGGGCGACGGUUGUCCCGGUUUAAGCGUGUAGGCUGGUUUUCCAGGCAAAUCCGGAAAAUCAAGGCUGAGGCGUGAUGACGAGGCACUACGGUGCUGAAGCAACAAAUGCCCUGCUUCCAGGAAAAGCCUCUAAGCAUCAGGUAACAUCAAAUCGUACCCCAAACCGACACAGGUGGUCAGGUAGAGAAUACCAAGGCGCUUGAGAGAACUCGGGUGAAGGAACUAGGCAAAAUGGUGCCGUAACUUCGGGAGAAGGCACGCUGAUAUGUAGGUGAGGUCCCUCGCGGAUGGAGCUGAAAUCAGUCGAAGAUACCAGCUGGCUGCAACUGUUUAUUAAAAACACAGCACUGUGCAAACACGAAAGUGGACGUAUACGGUGUGACGCCUGCCCGGUGCCGGAAGGUUAAUUGAUGGGGUUAGCGGUAACGCGAAGCUCUUGAUCGAAGCCCCGGUAAACGGCGGCCGUAACUAUAACGGUCCUAAGGUAGCGAAAUUCCUUGUCGGGUAAGUUCCGACCUGCACGAAUGGCGUAAUGAUGGCCAGGCUGUCUCCACCCGAGACUCAGUGAAAUUGAACUCGCUGUGAAGAUGCAGUGUACCCGCGGCAAGACGGAAAGACCCCGUGAACCUUUACUAUAGCUUGACACUGAACAUUGAGCCUUGAUGUGUAGGAUAGGUGGGAGGCUUUGAAGUGUGGACGCCAGUCUGCAUGGAGCCGACCUUGAAAUACCACCCUUUAAUGUUUGAUGUUCUAACGUUGACCCGUAAUCCGGGUUGCGGACAGUGUCUGGUGGGUAGUUUGACUGGGGCGGUCUCCUCCUAAAGAGUAACGGAGGAGCACGAAGGUUGGCUAAUCCUGGUCGGACAUCAGGAGGUUAGUGCAAUGGCAUAAGCCAGCUUGACUGCGAGCGUGACGGCGCGAGCAGGUGCGAAAGCAGGUCAUAGUGAUCCGGUGGUUCUGAAUGGAAGGGCCAUCGCUCAACGGAUAAAAGGUACUCCGGGGAUAACAGGCUGAUACCGCCCAAGAGUUCAUAUCGACGGCGGUGUUUGGCACCUCGAUGUCGGCUCAUCACAUCCUGGGGCUGAAGUAGGUCCCAAGGGUAUGGCUGUUCGCCAUUUAAAGUGGUACGCGAGCUGGGUUUAGAACGUCGUGAGACAGUUCGGUCCCUAUCUGCCGUGGGCGCUGGAGAACUGAGGGGGGCUGCUCCUAGUACGAGAGGACCGGAGUGGACGCAUCACUGGUGUUCGGGUUGUCAUGCCAAUGGCACUGCCCGGUAGCUAAAUGCGGAAGAGAUAAGUGCUGAAAGCAUCUAAGCACGAAACUUGCCCCGAGAUGAGUUCUCCCUGACUCCUUGAGAGUCCUGAAGGAACGUUGAAGACGACGACGUUGAUAGGCCGGGUGUGUAAGCGCAGCGAUGCGUUGAGCUAACCGGUACUAAUGAACCGUGAGGCUUAACCUU